Molecule: ribosomal RNA, 467 nt
Filed under: uncultured bacterium
Lineage: Bacteria
Description: partial 16S ribosomal RNA
Rfam family: Bacterial small subunit ribosomal RNA
Source: RNAcentral
GACGAACGCUGGCGGCGUGCUUAACACAUGCAAGUCGAACGGAAAGGCCCUGCUUUUGUGGGGUGCUCGAGUGGCGAACGGGUGAGUAACACGUGAGUAACCUGCCCUUGACUUUGGGAUAACUUCAGGAAACUGGGGCUAAUACCGGAUAGGAGCUCCUGCUGCAUGGUGGGGGUUGGAAAGUUUCGGCGGUUGGGGAUGGACUCGCGGCUUAUCAGCUUGUUGGUGGGGUAGUGGCUUACCAAGGCUUUGACGGGUAGCCGGCCUGAGAGGGUGACCGGCCACAUUGGGACUGAGAUAGGGCCCAGACUCCUACGGGAGGCAGCAGUGGGGACUAUUGCACAAUGGGCGGAAGCCGGAUGCAGCAACGCCGCGUGCGGGAUGACGGCCUUCGGGUUGUAAACCGCUUUCGCCUGUGACGAAGCGUGAGUGACGGUAAUGGGGAAAGAAGCACCGGCUAACUACGU